AAAAAUGUGUUUCUCUUAAUCAGGUCUACUUUCCCCACUCCCAAACAUUGAUACAUCUUCUCCAAGCAUUGGAUGUGGCCAAUCGGCUAGAAAUGAUUCCUAAAAUUUGGAAAGUAAAGAAUAUGGUCAUACUUUCCGCAGCGACCUGAGAGAAGAGAUCCUGAAGCUCAUGGCAAGGGACAAGCACCCACCAGAGCUUCAGGUGGCAUUUGCUGACUGUGCUGCUGAUAUCAAAUCUGCGUAUGAAAGCCAACACAUCAGACAGACUGCUCAGGAUUGGCCAGCCACCUCUCUCAACUGUAUAGCUAUCCUCUUUUUAAGGGCUGGGAGAACUCAGGAAGCCUGGUGAGUACAGUACCACAAGUAUACACUUCAGAAGCUUUUGUAUUUGGAUCUAAAACAUUGACCCACGCUGGUAGAGGUUCUUUCAUUUGGCCAUAUAACAAGUAUUUGAUUUGGAAACUUGCAAAUACCAACUAAAAAGCAAACUUUUGGAAGAAGACAAUAUGCAUGAUGUGGUUGAGAUAAGGCAUAGUUCUCUCAAAACCAUAGGGUGA
Molecule: small RNA, 557 nt
Filed under: Pongo abelii (Sumatran orangutan)
Lineage: Eukaryota; Metazoa; Chordata; Mammalia; Primates; Hominidae
Description: processed transcript
Source: RNAcentral